Molecule: small RNA, 547 nt
Filed under: Pan troglodytes (chimpanzee)
Lineage: Eukaryota; Metazoa; Chordata; Mammalia; Primates; Hominidae
Description: retained intron
Source: RNAcentral
UUUUAGUUUGCCUAUUAUCUAGCCAGUUUUUAAAUAUAUGUACAGAUGGUUCUUGAUUUUUUCUUAUAAUUUUUUGACUUUAUGAUGGAUUUAUCAGGAUGUAAACCUAUCAUAAGUCAAGGAGCAUCUGAGUAUCCCAUGUAUAUUCAUGCUUUAUUACACAAUGAUCUGAUUAUUUGUCAGCACAUUUUUAAAUUCUCUAAUGAAAUGUGUGGCUUUUGUUUAUAGACUGUGGCAGGGUAUACCAUUCCUCCAGGACAUCAGGUGUGUGUUUCUCCCACUGUCAAUCAAAGACUUAAAGACUCAUGGGUAGAACGCCUGGACUUUAAUCCUGAUCGCUACUUACAGGAUAACCCAGCAUCAGGGGAAAAGUUUGCCUAUGUGCCAUUUGGAGCUGGGCGUCAUCGUUGUAUUGGGGAAAAUUUUGCCUAUGUUCAAAUUAAGACAAUUUGGUCCACUAUGCUUCGUUUAUAUGAAUUUGAUCUCAUUGAUGGAUACUUUCCCACUGUGAAUUAUACAACUAUGAUUCACACCCCUGAAAACCCAG